AUGAUAGUGAGGACGAUUCAUUGGUGGAAGGUGAUGAUGGUAGACUUCAUAGGGUUGUAAAUCGUUAUUAUGUAAAGAGGCAUUUGGAUUUCCAGUCUGGUUAUGGUCUAGACCAGAUAAAAAACUUGGAGAUUCGGUUUCUGGGAGAUCGCUUGUUGACUGAUGCGUAUUGACCUAAUAACCCCUUCUUUGUUGUGUUCAUCUUGGGUCAAUUUUGGGUUGGUUUGAGACUACCCCUGUCCACACUUGUCGGCGAACUCUUGAAUUCU
RNAcentral lists this long non-coding RNA (269 nucleotides) under Aquilegia coerulea. Its description in RNAcentral is "long non-coding RNA (ACOE_LNC000954)". Lineage: Eukaryota; Viridiplantae; Streptophyta; Magnoliopsida; Ranunculales; Ranunculaceae. The record is from RNAcentral.